This 1351-nucleotide ribosomal RNA is filed under the name uncultured bacterium. RNAcentral's name for it is "16S ribosomal RNA". It matches the Rfam family "Bacterial small subunit ribosomal RNA". The record is from RNAcentral.
AGAGUUUGAUCAUGGCUCAGGAUGAACGCUGGCGGCGUGCCUAACACAUGCAAGUCGAGCGGCAGCGAGGGGUGCUUGCACCCUGUCGGCGAGCGGCGGACGGCUGAGUAACGCGUGGGAACGUGCCCCAAAGUGAGGAAUAACUGCCCGAAAGGGUAGCUAAUACCGCAUAUUAUCUUCGGAUCAAAGGAUUUAUCCGCUUUGGGAGCGGCCCGCGUCGGAUUAGGUAGUUGGUGAGGUAAUGGCUCACCAAGCCGACGAUCCGUAGCUGGUCUGAGAGGAUGACCAGCCAGACUGGAACUGAGACACGGUCCAGACUCCUACGGGAGGCAGCAGUGAGGAAUCUUCCACAAUGGCGAAAGCCUGAUGGAGCAACGCCGCGUGCAGGACGAAGGCCUUCGGGUUGUAAACUGCUUUUAUAAGUGAGGAAUAUGACGGUAACUUAUGAAUAAGGAUCGGCUAACUACGUGCCAGCAGCCGCGGUCAUACGUAGGAUUCGAGCGUUAUCCGGAGUGACUGGGCGUAAAGAGUUGCGUAGGCGGUUGUAUAAGUGAAUAGUGAAAUCUGGUGGCUCAACCAUACAGGCUAUUAUUCAAACUGUACAACUCGAGAGUGAUAGAGGUCACUGGAAUUUCUUGUGUAGGAGUGAAAUCCGUAGAUAUAAAGAAGGAACACCGAUGGCGUAGGCAGGUGACUGGACCAUUUCUGACGCUAAGGCACGAAAGCGUGGGGAGCGAACCGGAUUAGAUACCCGGGUAGUCCACGCCGUAAACGAUGGAUACUGGCUGUUGGAGGUAUCGACCCCUUCAGUAGCGAAGCUAACGCGUUAAGUAUCCCGCCUGUGGAGUACGGCCGCAAGGCUAAAACAUAAAGGAAUUGACGGGGACCCGCACAAGCGGUGGAUCGUGUUCUUUAAUUCGAUGCUAAACGAAGAACCUUACCAGGGCUUGACAUCCAGGGAAUUUUUGGGAAACCAAUUAGUGCCGUUUGGAACCCUGUGACAGGUGAUGCAUGGCCGUCGUCAGCUCGUGUCGUGAGAUGUUUGGUUAAGUCCAUCAACGAGCGCAACCCUUGUGUCUAGUUGUAUUUUUCUAGACAGACUGCUUCGGUAACGGAGAGGAAGGAGGGGAUGAUGUCAGGUCAGUAUUUCCCUUACGUCCUGGGCUAGAAACACGAUACAAUGGCUAGUACAAUGCGCAGCGAAGCCGCGAGGUGAAGCAAAUCGCACCAAAGUUAGUCCCAGUUCGGAUUGGAGGCUGAAACUCGCCUCCAUGAAGUCGGAAUCGCUAGUAAUCGCAAAUCAGCAAGUUGCGGUGAAUACGUUCCCGGGUCUUGUACACACCGCCCGUCA